ACCAGUGGUUAGGUUAGCUUCAAGAGUGGUGAGACUGUUGUUCCGCGACGCGUAAAUUAGCAUGCCGAAAGGGAACCCUGUGAAAACUGGAGAGCGGAACAUCCCCACUCGAGUAGCUGUCCAACGCCAAUGGACGCUACCAACGCUGCACGCUGGAGUAGUUGCGCUAGUCACCACCAGAAAGCGCCACGAGAAGGACAAUGGAUUCGCUAGGGCGAAAUAGGAUGAGAAUGGGGCGAAAUGGGAAGGAUGGAUGAGGUUGAGGAUCGCUGGAGAAUCUGCGCCAUUGGAUCGGUCACUUGCCUGGUGAUGUGAUUUGUGGACGGUCAACUAAGCCGAGUUGCCGUCACGUAUAGUGACAUUGUGUGAAGCGGAACCGGUGCAGAAGACCGGAGGAAAAGGGUCCGUCGAUCGCGAGAUCCGGACGAGCUGCAGGAGUACCUGCGCAGAAACUGGACAACAAGACCCCUCGGUGUGUACGCUUCGCGUACCGAUCGGCCAGCCCAACCCUGGGUGCCGGAAGCCCGUGUGACCCACACGACACCCGCAGUGUCCCCUACGGCGAUCGUCACGCCAGACGAUCGCAACUCUACACCGUUACGGUGAGGGAACUGCCGGUCGCGACGCCGCCAUUUUGUUCCGAGGAACAUCCCUGUCGCGACCAUAACCGCCACCGAAUCUGCCAGCCGUUACAACCCGUCGACGCCGGAAACCAGGCAAUCCGGUGGACUUGUCCACCGAAGUCCUGGGUCCGUCAACAAACCCAGGAGCGUCGAGGCAGAAGGCGAGGAGAGGGUCCGAGUACGUGCUGAAGCAGCUGACCGUCAAGCACGAGCGAA
Culex quinquefasciatus (southern house mosquito) is the source of this 839-nucleotide long non-coding RNA. RefSeq lists it as uncharacterized. NCBI's taxonomy places the organism in Eukaryota, Metazoa, Arthropoda, Insecta, Diptera, Culicidae. The record is from RefSeq and is a predicted model, not a curated record. The transcript is spliced from 2 exons.